UACGAAGGGUGCAAACGUUGCUCGGAAUCAUUGGGCGUAAAGCGCACGUAGGCGGCCCAUUAAGUCGGAUGUGAAAUCCCUCGGCUCAACCAAGGAAGUGCAUUCGAAACUGAUAGGCUUGAGUACCAAAGAGGAUCGCGGAAUUCCCGGUGUAGAGGUGAAAUUCGUAGAUAUCGGGAGGAACACCAGUGGCGAAGGCGGCGAUCUGGGUGGUUACUGACGCUGAGGUGCGAAAGCGUGGGGAGCAAACAGG
RNAcentral lists this ribosomal RNA (253 nucleotides) under uncultured bacterium. Its description in RNAcentral is "partial 16S ribosomal RNA". It matches the Rfam family "Bacterial small subunit ribosomal RNA", at positions 524 to 776 of the family's 1533-position model. The record is from RNAcentral.